UACGGCUCAGUAACACGUGGACAACCUACCCUACAGAAGGGGAUAACCCCGGGAAACUGGGGAUAAUACCCUAUAGACUAUGGAUGCUGGAAUGCUCUGUAGCCGAAAGGUCCGCCGCUGUAGGAUGGGUCUGCGGCCGAUUAGGUUGUUGUUGGGGUAACGGCCCAACAAGCCUGUAAUCGGUACGGGUUGUGGGAGCAAGAGCCCGGAGAUGGAUUCUGAGACACGAAUCCAGGCCCUACGGGGCGCAGCAGGCGCGAAAACUUUGCAAUGCGGGAAACCGUGACAAGGGAACUCUGAGUGCCCGUAAAAUCGGGCUGUCCAUCGGUUUAAAUAACCGGUGAAGAAAGGGCCGGGCAAGACCGGUGCCAGCCGCCGCGGUAAUACCGGCGGCUCGAGUGGUGGCCACUAUUACUGGGCUUAAAGCGUUCGUAGCUGGUUUGUUAAGUCUCUGGGGAAAUCUUCCGGCUUAACCGGAAGGCGUCUCAGGGAUACUGGCAGACUAGGGACCGGGAGAGGUGAGAGGUACUCCAGGGGUAGGAGUGAAAUCCUGUAAUCCUUGGGGGACCACCUGUGGCGAAGGCGUCUCACCAGAACGGCUCCGACAGUGAGGGACGAAAGCUGGGGGAGCAAACCGGAUUAGAUACCCGGGUAGUCCCAGCUGUAAACGAUGCGCGUUAGGUGUAUCAGCGACCACGAGUCGCUGAGGUGCCGAAGAGAAAUCGUGAAACGUGCCGCCUGGGAAGUACGGUCGCAAGGCUGGAACUUAAAGGAAUUGGCGGGGGAGCACA
RNAcentral lists this ribosomal RNA (791 nucleotides) under uncultured archaeon. RNAcentral's name for it is "bacterial SSU rRNA". It matches the Rfam family "Archaeal small subunit ribosomal RNA", at positions 84 to 880 of the family's 1478-position model. The record is from RNAcentral.